Molecule: ribosomal RNA, 497 nt
Filed under: uncultured bacterium
Lineage: Bacteria
Description: partial 16S ribosomal RNA
Rfam family: Bacterial small subunit ribosomal RNA
Source: RNAcentral
GACGAACGCUGGCGGCGUGCCUAAUACAUGCAAGUUGAGCGCUGAAGGUUGGUACUUGUACCGACUGGAUGAGCAGCGAACGGGUGAGUAACGCGUGGGGAAUCUGCCUUUGAUCGGGGGACAACAUUUGGAAACGAAUGCUAAUACCGCAUAAAAACUUUAAACACAAGUUUUAAGUUUGAAAGAUGCAAUUGCAUCACUCAAAGAUGAUCCCGCGUUGUAUUAGCUAGUUGGUGAGGUAAAGGCUCACCAAGGCGAUGAUACAUAGCCGACCUGAGAGGGUGAUCGGCCACAUUGGGACUGAGACACGGCCCAAACUCCUACAGGAGGCAGCAGUAGGGAAUCUUCGGCAAUGGACGAAAGUCUGACCGAGCAACGCCGAGUGAGUGAGGAGGGUUGUCGGAUCGUAAAACUCUGUUGGCAGAGAAGAACGUUGGUGAGCGUGGAAAGCUCAUCAAGUGACGGUAACUACCCAGAAAGGGACGGCUAACUACGUG